AUUGAACGCUGGCGGCAUGCCUUACACAUGCAAGUCGAACGGCAGCGGGGACUUCGGUCCGCCGGCGAGUGGCGAACGGGUGAGUAAAGUAUCGGAACGUACCUUUCAGUGGGGGAUAACGUAGCGAAAGUUACGCUAAUACCGCAUAUUCUGUGAGCAGGAAAGCAGGGGAUCGCAAGACCUUGCGCUGAUUGAGCGGCCGAUAUCAGAUUAGCUAGUUGGUGAGGUAAAGGCUCACCAAGGCGACGAUCUGUAGCGGGUCUGAGAGGAUGAUCCGCCACACUGGAACUGAGACACGGUCCAGACUCCUACGGGAGGCAGCAGUGGGGAAUUUUGGACAAUGGGGGCAACCCUGAUCCAGCCAUGCCGCGUGAGUGAAGAAGGCCUCGGUUGUAAGUACUCUUCGGUCAGGAACGAAACGGUAGAGGGCGUAAGU
This 436-nucleotide ribosomal RNA is filed under the name uncultured bacterium. RNAcentral's name for it is "bacterial SSU rRNA". It matches the Rfam family "Bacterial small subunit ribosomal RNA", at positions 30 to 465 of the family's 1533-position model. The record is from RNAcentral.